RNAcentral lists this unclassified non-coding RNA (329 nucleotides) under soil metagenome. Its description in RNAcentral is "partial contains 5.8S ribosomal RNA, internal transcribed spacer 2, and large subunit ribosomal RNA". The stretch from base 1 to 120 matches the Rfam family "5.8S ribosomal RNA", at positions 35 to 154 of the family's 154-position model. The record is from RNAcentral.
GAUGAAGAACGCAGCGAAAUGCGAUAAGUAAUGUGAAUUGCAGAAUUCAGUGAAUCAUCGAAUCUUUGAACGCACAUUGCGCCCCCUGGUAUUCCGGGGGGCAUGCCUGUCCGAGCGUCAUUACAACCCUCAAGCUCAGCUUGGUGUUGGGCCCCGCCGCCCCGGCGGGCCCUAAAGUCAGUGGCGGUGCCGUCCGGCUCCGAGCGUAGUAAUUCUUCUCGCUCUGGAGGUCCGGUCGUGUGCUCGCCAGCAACCCCCCAUUUUUUUCAGGUUGACCUCGGAUCAGGUAGGGAUACCCGCUGAACUUAAGCAUAUCAAUAAGCGGAGGA